AACGAACGCUGGCGGCAUGCCUAACACAUGCAAGUCGAACGAGACCUUCGGGUCUAGUGGCGCACGGGUGCGUAACGCGUGGGAACCUGCCCUUAGGUUCGGAAUAACUCCCCGAAAGGGGUGCUAAUACCGGAUAAUGUCUUCGGACCAAAGAUUUAUCGCCUUUGGAUGGGCCCGCGUUGGAUUAGCUAGUAGGUAGGGUAAAAGCCUACCAAGGCGACGAUCCAUAGCUGGUCUGAGAGGAUGAUCAGCCACACUGGGACUGAGACACGGCCCAGACUCCUACGGGAGGCAGCAGUGGGGAAUAUUAGACAAUGGGCGAAAGCCUGAUCCAGCAAUGCCGCGUGAGUGAUGAAGGCCUUAGGGUUGUAAAGCUCUUUUACCCGGGAUGAUAAUGACAGUACCGGGAGAAUAAGCUCCGGCUAACUCCGUG
RNAcentral lists this ribosomal RNA (433 nucleotides) under uncultured bacterium. RNAcentral's name for it is "partial 16S ribosomal RNA". It matches the Rfam family "Bacterial small subunit ribosomal RNA", at positions 29 to 507 of the family's 1533-position model. The record is from RNAcentral.